Molecule: long non-coding RNA, 176 nt
Organism: Cervus elaphus (red deer)
Lineage: Eukaryota; Metazoa; Chordata; Mammalia; Artiodactyla; Cervidae
Exons: 4
Source: RefSeq, a predicted model, not a curated record
CACCCACAGCCACACAGCGCUGGUGCCCAGGCUGUGGACAGCACAGGGCUCUGUCCCAGGGCACCCAAGGGCAAGGAUGAAACUGCUGCGGUGGGGGCGGGGGUGCCAGGGCACCAGAGGGCCUUCUCUCACUGCACUCCUCCCCCAGGUUCCCAGGGCCCAGGGAGCACCCCUCC